This is a non-coding RNA of Chelonoidis abingdonii (Abingdon island giant tortoise), 3360 nucleotides long. NCBI's taxonomy places the organism in Eukaryota, Metazoa, Chordata, Testudines, Testudinidae. The record is from RefSeq and is a predicted model, not a curated record.
CCUGGUGCUGCGGGCCCGCGUGCUUGUGCUCAUGUUUCGGCAGCGGCUUCGGCGCGGCCUUGGGGCCGGGCUCGGCCGCGUGCUGCAGGGAAGAAUCAACAUUUAAAGUUUCCGAAAGGAAAUGAAACACGGCAGCACCCCUGGUCAGAGUCACAGCUUCUUCAGAAAGAAACUUAAUUCAACUGCAGGAGUAGUCUGAGAGAGCUGGAACAUACUGUCUUAUUCUAGAACUCCAGUAGCAGAUUAUCAGAUGAAAGCACACUCAACCAGUUAAACAAAAUAGAAGUGAUGGAGUCUCACACUCAUGUCCAUAUACAAGGAUUCACCAGCACUGUAAGUGAACCUGCUAGAUCAGACCAUUUCAAGAACCACAAACAUGGUUACGUGUGAGACAGACAAGAUUCUCCAUGACCUUUGCAGGAUGUUGUAUCCUUGCUUUGCACCAUUCACAACAAGAUAUCAAUAACACAUCGCUCAAACACUCAGAGACCCUGUUAUCAACAUCUCAUCACUUAAGUACCUGUGCAACUCUUCAAUCACGUACAACACACAAUUUGGCAAAACAAAGUAGGAAAAUAACUACAAAGUAAUAUCUGAGCCGUUGUGUUGUGAGCCUUUCUGACUGUGUAGAUCACCAGACAAGAGAGACAAAUUAGCGUGAAGGGCUGCUCUUCAACAGGAAAUGUUACACCCUUUCCAAAAGGAAAGGUCCAUUGAUACCAGCCCGAGUACUGUGGGACAUUGCAGCUAGAAUCUCCUUGCAUAUUGUCAGAAACAGGACACAAGACUUCUGUUGUUCGGCUCUUCUCCUCCUCCUUAAGGUAGUUUAUUAUAGGAUUGGCUGCAAACGUUGUCUUUGGUGUGUGAUCUGAGGUGCAAUUGACCUGGAUGAUGGGUAAGAAAGCCUGCUGAGACCCAACUCCCACUAGUGCAAACCUACCUUCAGCUGGGAUCCAGAGGCACCAGUAUCUCAAGAAUUAUUGCAAUAGGAAGGGUCCUGGGACAGCAGAACCAGCCAGCAGACUGAAGCCCAUGCAUCACAGCCACCAGCAGGGGGACCUAUGCACCAAGCAGACCCACUCCCUCACAACAUCAGUGUGAGGUAAGAAUGCCCAGACCUGUGGACAUCAGCAUCCCCAUCACACGUGCUGUCUCCAGGGGCUUGGAAAGGUGGCCAGGUCAGUGUGCUCUGGGGUAAAGCUCAGUGGGCUGGGUCCCAGCUCAAAGGGCCCUGGAGAGUUUUAACCAGAUUAAAAAACUAAAAACCAGUUCGAACUGAUCAGCUGCGCAGUAGGGCGUAAGUGAGCAUCAGCUUCCAUGGGAGUUGGACCUAUUUAUUUCAGGCCCUCAGCCUGGACUUAAUUAACUCAUUAGCAGAAUCCUUUACAUCCAGGGCCCAGACUUGCAUUGGGUGUGGUCUGGUCCUUACGUAUCACUGCAGCCAAGACCCGAACCAGGACCCUGAUGGCCUGGAGUCAGCAGCUCCCCAAGGUGAACCAGUCAGGAAUUCUCUCCUGGACCAAGCUGAUAAGAACUCCCUUGAAUUGCUCUUGUCUGCAGUCAUCGCCCUGGCUAGGCUUCUAGGGUCUGCACGGGGCCAGUCUGAGCUAGAAGCUGCCACCCCCUUGUCCAAGCUAGCAGAAGCUCUAGGGGGCUGCUCAUGGCUGGAAGCCCCUUGCUGUUUGUCAAGGCAGUUGGAGCUGUGCUCAGCUGAGGGUCACCUCCUUCUGUAUGGUGUAGGAGCCAUUUUGUAUUGGCCAUAGCUGCAGAUGGCUCUUUGCAGGUCCUGCGAGGGCCUUUCACAAGGUGUUCAAGUGAAAGUAACUAACACUUGCCUCAGUUAUGGCGCUUAGUGAAAAGCAGCCUUGGUUGACCACGUGGUGCUUGGCAAGCAAAUGAUCCUGAAGGAGUCCAGUUGCAUAGGCUAGUCUGGUGAAAGAAAUACGUAAAAUAGCCAGGAAAUAGGACACUUUUGAAAAAUGGCUGCUGCUUCUGACUGUGACCCCAGCGGGAAGUAUGUUCAAACCCCACUCUGUGACUGGCUCCGUCUCGCACCCUCUAUGUUGUCACCCAGAGCCCCACACCACGUUGGAGGGUGGAGUCACAGAGCUGAUGUGUUCGCUGGCUGGGAAUGAAGGGCUUUACCCUGGCAGAUGGCCUGCAUGCUGCCCCACCCACGCAUGCUGAUGCUGGCCACUGCCCUAGAGGGGAGCCUGCAAAGUGCUGCCUGUCAAAGCAUCACAGAAAUCAAAUCCCAAGAGGAAAAGGCUUGCAGUGAAAACACUCCAUCUUAGCUGGUGACACAACCCGGGAGGAGGCUUGGUCUGCCCCACAUCUUGCCCUUCUCUGUCUCUCUCUGCCAUGGUUCAGCAUUUCUCGUUCCUAAAUCCCGGUCAGCUGGUUAACCUGCAGACCUUUCCCCUGGGUUUACCUGGCUCCUCUGACCAUGCCAACGCGCAUGCUCCAGCUGAUCUCCCGGCUACCUUUCCGAAGGAGUCUGACCUGUGAGCUAUUCUUAGCUGUGCUGUAAAAUCAUGGCGCUAUUUUGAUCCCAUCUCUGUACUGUAAGCUGCAGGCUGCUGACAGGCUCUGCACCACCAUGUGUGACGAACACCUUAUCUGUGAACAAGGCUGGAUUGUGACCUUGUACCUGGGCUUGUCUGCCUUGCCCAGGGCUACAGGCUCUCCACACCAGGAUCUGGUUUAUGGGCAUUUCAGGAAUGAGCACCACAUGGCUUGGGGAUGACAGAAGCUGGCCGGGGCUCCUGCCAUGCUGUCCUUUGGCCUGCGCCGCUUCUGGGACUGCAGAGGAUGCUGCAGAUCCACUGGCCCCAUGCUGAGAGAAGGGUGUUACAUGGAACUCUGUGCAGGAUGGGAGAGGGGAGCCUUGCACAUAGGCUCAUGCUGGUCUGAUGGAGCUCUGGUGCCUGGGAGAUCCAGCAGGAAGUGCCGGGCAGAGGGCUGGCUGGCCUGAACACUUGUUCUCUCUAAAGGAGGAAAUCUGGUGGGGCUGUGCAGCAAAUGUGGAGCAUGAGCAAUCUGAUGGGAGUUGGGGGAGGGGAGAAGCAAGUGGAACUGUAUUUAGCAGAACUGGAAGCCAGGAGGAUAGGGGAGAUGAGCUGGCUGAACGGGGAGCAAAGGAACCCCCUGAAUCAGUGAGAGUGAGUGAGUCAGAUGGGAGGGGAGGAAGAGUGAGGCAGGGAGUGCGGGUCACCCCAAACAACUGCCCCUCCAAUAAGCCCAGGAGGGCCUCAUCUCACCUUUGCUGUUUGCAGGGGACCCUAUAGCCAUUCCACUUUAUAUGGCAGGGAUAGGCAACCUACGGUGGCACAGAAGGUGAUUUUCAGUGGCACUCACACU